RNAcentral lists this transfer RNA (62 nucleotides) under Perna canaliculus (greenshell mussel). RNAcentral's name for it is "tRNA-Met". The record is from RNAcentral. Lineage: Eukaryota; Metazoa; Mollusca; Bivalvia; Mytilida; Mytilidae.
UGUAAAGUAGUCUAAAUUAGGGCGAAGGAUCUAUGCUCCUUAAGUGUUUUUAACCUUUAUAA